RNAcentral lists this ribosomal RNA (497 nucleotides) under uncultured bacterium. RNAcentral's name for it is "partial 16S ribosomal RNA". It matches the Rfam family "Bacterial small subunit ribosomal RNA", at positions 28 to 507 of the family's 1533-position model. The record is from RNAcentral.
GAUGAACGCUGGCGGCGUGCCUAAUACAUGCAAGUCGAGCGAACAGACGAGGAGCUUGCUCCUCUGACGUUAGCGGCGGACGGGUGAGUAACACGUGGAUAACCUACCUAUAAGACUGGGAUAACUUCGGGAAACCGGAGCUAAUACCGGAUAAUAUAUUGAACCGCAUGGUUCAAUAGUGAAAGACGGUUUUGCUGUCACUUAUAGAUGGAUCCGCGCCGCAUUAGCUAGUUGGUAAGGUAACGGCUUACCAAGGCAACGAUGCGUAGCCGACCUGAGAGGGUGAUCGGCCACACUGGAACUGAGACACGGUCCAGACUCCUACGGGAGGCAGCAGUAGGGAAUCUUCCGCAAUGGGCGGAAGCCUGACGGAGCAACGCCGCGUGAGUGAUGAAGGUCUUCGGAUCGUAAAACUCUGUUAUUAGGGAAGAACAAAUGUGUAAGUAACUAUGCACGUCUUGACGGUACCUAAUCAGAAAGCCACAGCUAACUACGUG